CGAAAGCUUAGAUUUAGCAUCAGAUUAGUUAGUUUAAUUAGUACAGGUAGUAUAUUUAAAUCUGGUGUUAGCUGUGAUAAAUAAGUCGUUGAGUUUUAUAUCUGUUUUAGAGGGUUUAUUUUGUUAAACUUGUUUGGUGAAGAGAUCAAGCAAGAGAGUAUAGGCGUCAUGUAUAUCUAAUAAUGUUAGGGUUAAAAUUACCUUUUUAUAAAGAGUAUGUUACAAUUUCGUGUUAUUAUUUUAUGCUUUACUUUUGACCUCUCUAUAAUGUUAAUAUGUUGCGUUUAAGUAUCAUAUAAUAAGUAAUUCUAAUAGUUUCUUUGUUUCUCAUCAACAUCCCGUCUGUUUAUUAAAAACAUUUCCAUAUAAUAUAGUAUAUAUGGUAGGACCUGCUCUAUGUGUUAUAAAUGGCCGCAGUAUCUUGACUGUGCGAAGGUAGCAUAAUUAAUUGCUCUUUAAAUGGGGGCUUGUUUGAAUGGUUUGACGAGGUUGUUUUUAACAUAGAAGCUUUUGUUGAAAUUGAUGGUGUGAAUACAGAAUUUACAUUAUUUAAUUAGACGGAAAGACCCUAGGAUCUUUAUGUAUUUUGCUUGGGGCAAGUAAAAAUAGUUUAUUUGUUUUGUGACCCUUUGUGAGUUUAUAGGUUUAAGUUACCCUAGGGAUAACAGAGUAAUAGUUUAUUAGAGUUCUUAUCGAUUAAACUGUUUGCUACCUCGAUGUUGACUUGGGUUAAUGCUCUGGCGCAGUAGUUAGAGGUUUUGGUCUG
RNAcentral lists this ribosomal RNA (766 nucleotides) under Adenocephalus pacificus. RNAcentral describes it as "partial 16S ribosomal RNA". The stretch from base 333 to 494 matches the Rfam family "Bacterial large subunit ribosomal RNA", at positions 1790 to 2014 of the family's 2925-position model. Lineage: Eukaryota; Metazoa; Platyhelminthes; Cestoda; Diphyllobothriidea; Diphyllobothriidae. The record is from RNAcentral.